GACGAACGCUGGCGGCGUGCUUAACACAUGCAAGUCGAACGGAAAGGCCCUGCUUUUGUGGGGUGCUCGAGUGGCGAACGGGUGAGUAACACGUGAGUAACCUGCCCUUGACUUUGGGAUAACUUCAGGAAACUGGGGCUAAUACCGGAUAGGAGCUCCUGCUGCAUGGUGGGGGUUGGAAAGUUUCGGCGGUUGGGGAUGGACUCGCGGCUUAUCAGCUUGUUGGUGGGGUAGUGGCUUACCAAGGCUUUGACGGGUAGCCGGCCUGAGAGGGUGACCGGCCACAUUAGGACUGAGAUACGGCCCAGACUCCUACGGGAGGCAGCAGUGGGGAAUAUUGCACAAUGGGCGGAAGCCUGAUGCAGCAACGCCGCGUGCGGGAUGACGGCCUUCGGGUUGUAAACCGCUUUCGCCUGUGACGAAGCGUGAGUGACGGUAAUGGGUAAAGAAGCACCGACUAACUACGUG
Molecule: ribosomal RNA, 468 nt
Filed under: uncultured bacterium
Lineage: Bacteria
Description: partial 16S ribosomal RNA
Rfam family: Bacterial small subunit ribosomal RNA
Source: RNAcentral